Molecule: transfer RNA, 73 nt
Rfam family: tRNA
About the family: Transfer RNA (tRNA) molecules are approximately 80 nucleotides in length. Their secondary structure includes four short double-helical elements and three loops (D, anti-codon, and T loops).
Source: Rfam
GCCGCUGUAGCUCAGAAGGUAGAGCACUUCCAUGGUAAGGAAGAGGUCAUCGGUUCAAAUCCGAUAAGCGGCU